RNAcentral lists this signal recognition particle RNA (97 nucleotides) under Candidatus Anaerobiospirillum stercoravium. RNAcentral's name for it is "signal recognition particle sRNA small type". It matches the Rfam family "Bacterial small signal recognition particle RNA". From Rfam's summary of the family: The signal recognition particle (SRP) is a universally conserved ribonucleoprotein involved in the co-translational targeting of proteins to membranes. Archaeal SRP consists of a 7S RNA and homologues of the eukaryotic SRP19 and SRP54 proteins. Lineage: Bacteria; Pseudomonadati; Pseudomonadota; Gammaproteobacteria; Aeromonadales; Succinivibrionaceae. The record is from RNAcentral.
CCCUAGCGCUCUCGUACUUGUGCUUAGGUCAACGGGUCAGGAUCGGAAGAUAGCAGCCCAACUUAAGUUUCGAGGUACCGAGAUCACGUUAGGCGCU